This is a long non-coding RNA of Clupea harengus (Atlantic herring), 1305 nucleotides long. The record is from Ensembl. NCBI's taxonomy places the organism in Eukaryota, Metazoa, Chordata, Actinopteri, Clupeiformes, Clupeidae.
GGGGGGGGGGCAACGAUGACAGAGGAAAAGGGGGGAACACUGGCAUGUUGUAAAGUCCACCGGAUACUGGGCUCCACAGUUUGCCUGGGAGCACCAGUGUCUCGAACAAGCUGCAGACGGGCACAGUAUGCCUUGAUAACAAUACAGAGGCCCAACGUUUGGACAGGAGAAACCCCAUCAGCACACCCAAGGUGCUGCCCUCUUAAAACUGUACUGCUGCCGUGGCUUGUCAUUGAGACAUGAUUAUUAUCUAGGAGUUCAAAUGUGGUUUUCCUUGAGAAGGAGAUGAAGAGGGAAUACUUGUGGUCAGUACGCUGAGUUUUUUUUUUUUUUUACUUUAAAGAUGUGGUUGCAGCCCCUAACCAAUCAAAGCAUGGGAAGUGUGGAAGUAGUGGAGGCAUGUGGAGUUGAAAAGAGGGGGUCUUUUUGAUUGACGUUCUGAAUGUCCUAUGGGGAUAAAGUAACGGAGCAGACGGGGUAGGGAACCCACCCAAAGGCAAUUAAGGGUAAAGGACGAAGAAAUUUGAUGAAACUUUUUCGCCAAAGAGAAAUCGUAGGGAUAGCCCCGAAAAUGACGGACAAGCACAUCAGUAUCAAGACACCGCAGUUUGUACGAUGAAACGUGAGGUUUUAAAGUUCUGCAAUGAGAAUGAAACUUCGUUAGAAGACGUUAAAGGAUCAACUGAAGUUUUUUUCUAUCUCCGCCAAGUAAGCUGGAACAAAGCAAUUGGAAAAGUUAUAUAAAGAGAGAUAAGUGAUUGAUAACUGCCAGUACAGUAUGAGUGAUAAGAAAAAUGUUUUACGCAAAUGCGAUAUUCAGCUCAUAGCGUUCCGUAUCGAGGACAAUCAAGAUCAAAUUCAAAUGAGAUAGAGGACGAGGGAAAAUUGAUCUCAGUUCUUUUUGGAGUCUCAGAAUAACAUUCGGACUCGUCGUGGGGAAGGUUUCCUGAAUUUUCUACAUCUACCGAAAAGGGAAUUGCACUGUUUACUGGUUUUAUCUCGCCUGUUGCGGGGAUGGGGGCAGCGCCAGGCUCGGGCUGGGAAGAGGGGGAGUUCGAGUUCAAGUUGGUGUUUGAGGAGGAUCAGACCCGCGGCCCAUCCCCGCUGCGCAAUGCCGACCGGGACCCCAGCUCUGAGGGGGAGAGGACGGAGAGAGCCCCUGUGCACCUUGACACAAGCAGCAACACUGAUACCUCCACACAUGUUGGCCAACCGCUGGGCAUCCCUUCCCCACCAAACUCCACCAGUCAGAGGGCAGGGAUGCAUUCUCCACCCCCGAGGAGAGCGCUGGUGCGGGAGUUUAGU